This 81-nucleotide transfer RNA is filed under the name Frankia alni ACN14a. Its description in RNAcentral is "tRNA-Leu (TAG) (tRNA-Leu-TAG-1-1)". It matches the Rfam family "tRNA". From Rfam's summary of the family: Transfer RNA (tRNA) molecules are approximately 80 nucleotides in length. Their secondary structure includes four short double-helical elements and three loops (D, anti-codon, and T loops). The record is from Rfam by way of RNAcentral. Lineage: Bacteria; Bacillati; Actinomycetota; Actinomycetes; Frankiales; Frankiaceae. RNAcentral also lists the same sequence under 5 other names.
GCGGGAGUGGCGGAAUGGCAGACGCAGCAGGUUUAGGUCCUGCCGCCCUAGGGCGUGGGGGUUCAAGUCCCCCCUCCCGCA